CCUACGGGGGGCUGCAGUGGGGAAUAUUGCACAAUGGGCGCAAGCCUGAUGCAGCCAUGCCGCGUGUGUGAAGAAGGCCUUCGGGUUGUAAAGCACUUUCAGCGGGGAGGAAGGCGUUAAGGUUAAUAACCUUGGCGAUUGACGUUACCCGCAGAAGAAGCAACGGCUAACUCCGUGCCAGCAGCCGCGGUAAUACGGAGGGUGCAAGCGUUAAUCGGAAUUACUGGGCGUAAAGCGCACGCAGGCGGUCUGUCAAGUCGGAUGUGAAAUCCCCGGGCUCAACCUGGGAACUGCAUUCGAAACUGGCAGGCUAGAGUCUUGUAGAGGGGGGUAGAAUUCCAGGUGUAGCGGUGAAAUGCGUAGAGAUCUGGAGGAAUACCGGUGGCGAAGGCGGCCCCCUGGACAAAGACUGACGCUCAGGUGCGAAAGCGUGGGGAGCAAACAGGAUUAGAUACCCGGGUAGUC
This 465-nucleotide ribosomal RNA is filed under the name uncultured Klebsiella sp. RNAcentral describes it as "bacterial SSU rRNA". It matches the Rfam family "Bacterial small subunit ribosomal RNA", at positions 338 to 795 of the family's 1533-position model. The record is from RNAcentral. Lineage: Bacteria; Pseudomonadati; Pseudomonadota; Gammaproteobacteria; Enterobacterales; Enterobacteriaceae.